RNAcentral lists this ribosomal RNA (253 nucleotides) under uncultured bacterium. RNAcentral describes it as "partial 16S ribosomal RNA". It matches the Rfam family "Bacterial small subunit ribosomal RNA", at positions 524 to 776 of the family's 1533-position model. The record is from RNAcentral.
UACGUAGGGUGCAAGCGUUAAUCGGAAUUACUGGGCGUAAAGCGUGCGCAGGCGGUGAUGUAAGACAGUUGUGAAAUCCCCGGGCUCAACCUGGGAACUGCAUCUGUGACUGCAUCGCUGGAGUGCGGCAGAGGGGGAUGGAAUUCCGCGUGUAGCAGUGAAAUGCGUAGAUAUGCGGAGGAACACCGAUGGCGAAGGCAAUCCCCUGGGCCUGCACUGACACUGAGGCACGAAAGCGUGGGGAGCAAACAGG